AAUUAUUACUAAUUAAUAUUGUUAGUUUAUUAACGUCAUAUUAAAAAAUAACCAUUUGAAAAUAAAAACCAUACUCCCAAUUAAAACCGAAAAAGCAAAUGCGAAAUAAAUAAUAUAAUAUUCCAUUAACGUUUUGUUAAUAUCUUUUAAAAAGGUUUUUUAAAUAGCGAUUAAAUUGGAAUAUUAAAAAAACGACAUCCGGCCGCGUUAUUACGUCCACGUAUAUUAAAACCCCAGUUUUACGUUGGAAUAUUAAUAUUUUUAUCGAAUUGGUUUAAUUUAAAAAUAUUUCAAAAAACGUCAAUUUUAUUAGCGUACGAAAUUCGUUAUUUUUAUAUUUAUAUCCGGCAAAACUUACAAUUAUAUUAAAAUAUUGCGUUUGGGAUAAAUAAUUGCAUUUCUUUGGUCGAUCCCGCACUAUUUAUAUAUUUGAGACUAUUAAAAAACCUUUCUUUCUUAUAACGUGUUUUGUUUUCAAUGUAAAAAUAACAGUAUCGUUUUAUAAUUUGUAAUGCGGAAUGUGAAAUAUUACCAGAUCGUUAGUAUAAACAAAAGUAAAAACCGUUUUACUAGUAAAAAUGUAUAAUUCGUAAUUUAAUGGUUCGAAAUUAUAAAUUUUAAAUAUUUAUUCCAAUUUCUUUUACCUAAAUUAGAAUAAUUUUCGUCUUCCGUAUAAUAUAUGUAAUAGGCGGUAUAUCUUACUUUUAUAACAAUUUUUCGUCCCCGGUGGAAACCUUAUAAAUAUAGUUUUUUGAAAAAACGUUUAUAAAAGCGUUCGUAAUAUUAUAUUAAACUAUUUCGAAAUUUAAACGGGUAAUUUAUAAUAUAAGUAAAGGAACGACCGGCAGGUAAACGUAAUUGCGUAGGUCUUUCGUGCGUUAUUUAUAUUUUUUAAUUGUUAUAUAUUACGAAUCGUAUUUUGCACUAAACAAAAAUACUGUAUUUAUUAGAUUUAAAUAUGUAAAUAUAUUUAUAAUUAAAUAUUUGUAAAUCUUUUGUAUUAUUAAAAUUAACAAUUUCUUAUAUUAAUCUUUUUCGGUGGUUUUCGAAAUUAUUUAAUUUGAUUUAUAGAAUUGUUUUCGUAAUAUAUAAAUAAGUAUUUUUUGGAAUAAUUGGGCGGUCUUCGGAGGUUUCGCCUGUAAAAUAUUUUAUUAAUAAUCUUUUUUAAAAUUUCCGUUUGGGUAAAAAAACCAAAAAUCCCUGUUUUAUCCGGGAUGGAAAUAAUUGUUUUUUCCCGGAUUAUUAAUUUGUUAAACCGGCUAAAAUAUGGGUUAUUUUAAAUUUAAUCGUCCCCGUUAAUUUAAUUAAAUUUCCAUGAUAAAAAAUACCGUUACUAACUAAUUUACUUAAAAUUGUGUUUUUUUACCGGGUAAUUUUGCGAAUUGUAAACGGUUAAUAAAAAACGUUGAAUGGCGAUUCAAAUAAGAUGGGAAUAGAAUAAAUUUCCGUUUGGUAAGCAACAUUUUGGAAAUAAUUAAGUUCUUCAGCGCCGUUUUAAUAUAAAUGUAUUUCUUCUUUUGCAAUUAAAAAUUAUUUGUAAACAAUCUCCAUUCUUUUAUUAAUUAUUAGUACGUUUGUAAGUAUAUUUUCCGCCAAAUUAAUGUUUUAAAAUAUAUUUUCCGGGCGGCUUAUAAGAAACCGCUCCGUUUUACACGUUAUUAUUUAAUUUAAAUGGUUAUUUUCUAUAAAUAAAAGUAAAUUAACCUAUUAUUUAUUAGCGGAAUUGUUCGGAUUAUUAGUAUAAUAUUUAUUUACGUCGAAAUUUACGUCCUGUAAUUCGAAAGUUUUCCUAAUAUUAAAUGGUUAAAUACGGUAAAUACCAUUUAAUAAAUACCUAAUAAAAAACCCGACGUGCGUUUUUGGUUGAAAUCUUAAUAAUUAAUUUGUACCAAAUUGCGCUAUUAAAAUUAUAAUAUAUAUUUUGCAAUUAUAGGUACGCAAAUAAUUAUAUAACGGUUUUGAAUUUUGUUAAAUUCCAUCAAGUUUAUUAAUAACAGAUUUAAAACGUUUGUUAAACAAUUCUUAAUAAUAUUAAUAUUAAAAUAUUAUAUUAUAAAACCGAAAAAGGUAUUAACUAUUUCGCGUAUUAAAACGUAGCGCAAAUUUGCCUCAAUUUAUAUAUAACAAAUCCGUUAUAUAAAUUCGCCACCCACGCGUUUCGCACCGUUAUUUUAUUUUAAAAUAAUAGCGGUUGCAAUUUCAAACGUAAUUAUAUAUUAUUUAAAAUAAGAUGUAAAAUAUUAAUUUGAAAACGUUCGAUUUAUUUCCAAAAUUUGAUAUUGUAGAAUUAUAACGCGCAGUUAAAAAUUUACGGAAAUUAUCAAAAGAUUUCAAAAUCCGUAAUUUUCUUUUUAUAUUAUAUUAAUAUACCUAUAUAUAACCGGAAUAUUAAUUUAUAAGAUAAAAGAAAUAAUUUGUACUUGUAAUAUUAUUUCAAUUAUCUUUAAAAUAUAUUAUAUUUACCGCCAACGUUUUUCUAUACCGGGUAAAAGGUUUUUGGCUUUGCGUAAUAUAUGCUUUUAUAUUUUAUAAAUACCGGAAAUAGUAUAUUUUAUUAUAUCCGGGCUGGUAAAUUUCUAAUUUAGCGCGCCGGGUAAUAUAUUUUGGAACGCGUUGGAUUUUGCGUAACCCACACGUAAAUAAUAUAUAAUGGUAUUAUUUUUGGGGUUACGUUUAUUUUAUUUGGAAAAUUACAGUAUUAAUUUGGUAAGUAUAACGUUGCCAAAAAUUUGUAAAAACGAAUUUCCGAACGUAUAAUAACCGUAUUAUAAUAUAAACCAAAUUAUUAUUUCGUUAAUAUUAUUUUGUAAAGUAUUUUGUUGGUUUUUUUAAUUUAUUACCAGCUUUUUAUCCCCAAAUAUUAUAAUAGUACCACGUGAUAUAUAAAAUAAUAUAUGAAAAUAAUUUACCCUAAAUUAAUAAAUUUGCUUUUUUUAAUUCCAAUAAUUAUAAUCGAAACAUCUCCCAGUUUUUAAGUUAAAAGUAGUUUUUGGCUGAUUUAUAUGGCGUUUUCGGUAAUAAACAGUUUAAAAUUUCUAAACCGGUAAGAAUUGUAAAAACGUAUAAAGUAAUACCCGAAUUAAAAAUUACCAAAUUUUGAAACGUUAUUUUAAAUACGUAAACGGCGUUUAAAUUUAUUUGGUAGGUUAAAUAUUCGAAUGUUUGCGCAUUUUAAUUGUACGGAUCCUGGUUUUUAUAAAUAACGUUUUAAUAUAAUAAAACGCCGAAUAAUUACUGCUGGGGGAUUUGCUUAUAUAAUAUAAACGUUUAAAUUAUUUAUACGGCGUUUAAAAACGGCGUUUGUUCGCAUUUCACAUUUGAAAAUUGUCGAAAUCGCCUGGUUUACAUUAUAAUAAUCUGGCCGUUAUUUUAAAAAACAUUCAAAACGUUAAGAAAACGUAUUAUUUAUUUUUAUAAACCUAAUAAAAGUAACAAAUUCGAAUAACCGGCGGUAAUUCGCCGGUAUUUAUUCUAUUCUAAUAUUUUUUAUUCGAAAAAACUCGCCCGGAAAGUUUUAUAUUUGCAACGUACGCGUUAUUGGUUUCUGGAUAUCUUUCGUUAUUAAUUUUUGUAAAAACGGAAAUACGAUUUUAAUUUAUUUAUUAUAAGGUAAACCAACGAUUAUACGACGUUUAAAUACCCGAAAGGAAUUAUUAUUAUCGCUAAAGAAAAAGGAAAAAAAGGGGUACGGAAAAGGUUUUGGCGGCCCUCCCUCCUUUAUAUAUAACGUAAAUUAUUACGUAGUUCUUAUUAUUCUUUAUAUACGGAAAUACGUGCAAUUAACACAAAUCCGUAGUAUAAAGUUUUCCUCCCGGUCCGGAAAUUAUUUACCCCGUGGUCUUUCCGCCCCGAAACCCGCGUUUUUAUUUUACCGUGUCCCCCUCCCCCAAAUAAAAUCCCGUUCGGCGGUUGUUUUAAAUCGCGGCGAGGGGUGCGUAAAUUACCCCGUUAUUUCCCCGGAAACGCGACGUAAAGUUCGCGGCGGCGUAAUUAUAUCCGCGUAUUUGUUUUAAUCCCGUAAUUAUAUAUUGUCGGUUUAAAGGUAAUUUUAUAUUUCGGACGCUUUAUAACCGGUGCGGUUAUUAUAUAUUACCGGACAAUAUUAUAUAUUUGUCGCGUUUAUCGUUUUUUUUAUAAAUUAAAAAAUCGCGUUACGUUAUCGGAUUUUUCCCCCCCCAAUUUUACGCGCCUUUGUUUUUGUUUUAUUUUAUUUUUAUUUUGUUUUUAUUUUGUUUUUAUUUCGCCUUUUUUUAUUUUCGUCCCGUUUUCGCUCCGUUUAUAUUUCGUUAUUUUUCGUUUUAUUCUGUUUUUUUUUCGUUUUUAUUUGCCCCGUUGCGUCGUUUCCUCGUUUGCGAUUUUACCGCGGACCGUUAAAAAAACCCUAUUUUUCUAUAUUUUUGCCGUAUUUGUUCUUUUUUCCCCCCAAAUCAUUUUUCUUUUAUAAAUAUUUUUUUUUCGUUAACGUAAUUGUUUUUUCGUUGGUAUUUUCGCCGUACCCUGGUUUUUUUUACCAAUUUCUUUGCGUUACAAUUACGUUUACUUUUCCGUCGUUAUUAUAUUCUCGCCUAUUUUUAACCGUAAUUUUAAAUAAUCCGGUCGAAACGUUUUUUUUCCCCGUCGUUAUUAAUUUUGGCCAAUUUAACCGUUUUACUUUUCGCAGUACCGUUAAUAUUUUGAUUAAUAACCCCAAAGCUUUUACAAUAAAUUGCUUUAGCGUUAUUUUAAACGCGGUUUUCUAUAAAGCGUGGUUAUAAUAUAUCCAUCGCGUUAUUGGUUUAAAUAUUCAAAAAUAAUUCCGACGACGAAAAAUACACCGCGUUUAAAUAACGUAUCCCGGUUUGUUUAUUUUAUGUUAAAUUUGCCACAAUUAUUAAUAUUUUAAAUUAUCGCUUUUACCCUACCGGAACGGUUUGCAAUUGGUAUAAUAAUAUAAAACUUCACUUUGCAAUUACACCAAAAAAUUAUAAGUUCGAAAUUAUUUUUUUGUUAUCAAUUAAAUAAUUUAUAAGGUAUUAUAAUUGGCGGACGUUAUAUUAUUAUUUUUAAAAUAUUCGCGAAAUAUAACGUUAAUAAUAAAACUAUUUUUUCCGUAAAUUUUGACCGGCCCCGGGGUUUUUAAUAUUUUUAUUAUAUUUAAUUACGCGUAAAUAUUUUAUUUAUUAAUUCUGUUAUUAAAAUAUAUAAAUAUAAAACGCGUAAUAGUUUUGCGUUACGUCGUCGCGGAUCCGCGGUAAUAAAUUUUCUUUUCCGUAUUUAUUAUUAUAAAAAUUUUUAGCGCGAUAAUCGCGGUUGGACGGUAAUACUUGGAAAUUAAUCCGUCGUUAAUACGAAUAUUUUUAACGGGUUUCGAACGCGUCCAAAAUAUUAAUAUCCGUUAUAAAUUCCAACAGUUUCCGCGUGGGGUUAUUAUAAUUUUAUUAUUUUAUUAAUAUUUAGCGGCCGUUUUUUUCCCCUCCGGUUUUUCGCGUUUCAAAUUGCUUUUACGGCCCAAAUGUUUUUCGGGUUCGUUAAUUUUUUUUAUUGGGUAAAAUUCGGGGCCAAAACGAAAAUCGGUCCGAAUUUAAAAUAAUAAUAAAUCGUUAACGGCCUAUUCUAUUAAUUUAUAUGGAAAAUAAAAUAAGUUUUCUACGGAAUAUUUAAUAUAAUUAUAAGCAAAAUUAAUACCCUUAUUAUCCGGUAUUUCUCGUAAAUAUUAUCGAAUUUCUUUAUACGGACGGUUUAUAUAUAUAUAUUCCGUAAAUUAAAAAAUAUUUUGUCCCCGACCCGGAAUUAUUAAAUUAGACGUUAUAAUUUAUUCGCCCCGGGUUUUUGACGUUAUUAAAUAUAUAUAAUAACAGUUUGGAUUAAUUUGAAAUUUUCCCGUAAAUAUUCCACAAAUAACGUAAUUUUGGUUUUCGGGUUUUAACUGGAAUUUUAAAAAAGGAAUUCGGUAUUGUUUUAAUAAUAAACCCCAGUAAGAAUACAUUUGGAUUUAUUUUUAUAACGGAUAAACUCCGGGUAUUAAAAACCAAUUAUACGGUCCCCAAAUAAUUGGAUCGAUUUUUUUAAUCGAAAAUUAUAUAAAUUCUAAAAUCUUAUUAAAUUUUCAAUUAGCCCGUUUUGUAUUUCCGUUAAUUUACGGAUAAUUAAAAAUAGAAAAUAAUUAUUUUAUUUCCAUCUAUUUGCAAGAUUCCAUCCAAAGAUUUCCCAUCCAAUAGGAAGUUUUAUUAGAAAUAAUUUAAUUAGAAAAACUCCAAAACUAUUUUUAAAGAAAUAAAAAUUAU
RNAcentral lists this small RNA (6263 nucleotides) under Pyricularia oryzae. RNAcentral's name for it is "Magnaporthe oryzae sRNA M_BR32_EuGene_00030801". Lineage: Eukaryota; Fungi; Ascomycota; Sordariomycetes; Magnaporthales; Pyriculariaceae. The record is from RNAcentral.